GGGCAAGCCCAAACCCACGGCGGGGGGAAGUGCCGACGGAAAGACGGGAACCCCGGGAACCCGGAGGGUUCCCAAAGUACUGGGGACUCGUGGGUGGGCCAGCCUUCAUUCAGCCGCUGGCAACAGGCUUAGGGGGAGAUCUGCACCGCGAACUGUUCCCGAGAGAACAAGUCUUCAAGUUUAAUAUCCGGUGACUCUUACAGCCAGACACUUCAUAAAUCCUUUUUUCAAAAACCCCAGGUAAGUACACUGGUACCCCAAUGUAGGUUUGUUGGGAACCACCCAGAGAAAUCCAUUUUCCCUGUAAUGAAGUUAAUACUUUCAUUCUCUACAGGCAUCUCAAAAAUGACUUUAGCUAUCUCAUGUGGCUUUGGGGACUCUGGGGGAAAAAAGAAACAUGUAACUAAAGGGAAGCAAUUGUCCAAACAGUGAGAAUAUAUACAAAUUACUCGGCACUAUCUUUCUCUUGUUCCAAAGACAUCAUAUUGAGACAUACAUGCCUAAAAAUUGUUGUGAAAGAGCCAAAGCUUCUGUCUGCCCUAGAAGUUCAGUCAGUGCACUAGUACUGGGACACAGUGCCCCCAAAAGUUUUUAUUGAAGAGCUAACGUUUGUGUCUGGUUAUAACUUCCCAACUGAAACAAGCUACACACGUGAAUGAGUAAGUGAAGACAUAUAUGGCUCCUGAAAAGUAAUCCACAGAUUAUUUUCAACCAGGUGGUUCGCUUCCACCAUGAAAGAGUGCUAAGCUAAAGCCACGCUUAGUUCAAGUAUUCCUUUGAUCGGCCACUAAGUGCCCAGAUUUCAACAUAAUCCUCUCGUUUUUAAAAUCAGCACGUGGUUCUUCAUUUUGAGUGUUGGUACCCUACAUGUCUCCUUUUCCAGAAUUUACUCUUCCACCAUUUGAUACAUGAAGAGGCAAGAUAAUCUCACCUCUCAUAGCUCCUGAAACAUCUAUCUUCAAAAAGAUACAACGGCUGAAGAACCUUUCAGGUAAUAAUUACCAAGUUGCAGAUUCAGAACCUGACUACUGAAUUCCCAUGCUAAAGAAAAAAUGAAGACACUGUAAUAUUUACAGUACACAAACUUAGAAAUGUUAUAAUACAUGCCUGAAACCUGGUCCUUCACAAUUCAUAAUGAUACAGAGGUUUAUUCUUAUAUUUUCUUUAGCAUCUUCAGUGUAUCUCAACUGGGAAAGCAGCCUGUCGAACACGUACUGAUUCUGUGCUAACAGAUAAAGCAUCAAACUUCAAGUCUCACCGUAAAAACAAGGCCAUACUACUCAGUUUGGAGUGUCUCAAUUUCUUUUUGUAUUGUAGAAAUUCAAGUCCACCACAUAUUUCACCUGAAAUAUCCACUGGAGAAUAAUUCAACUGGAGGAAUCCACUGCUUAGAAUUACGUAUAAGAAGUGAAAGAAUGGAUCAUUAAGGCCAUCAGAGACUAGUCAUCACAUUAAUGUUAUUAAAAAGAUUGUUCAUAUUAAAAGUACCAAUAAUGAGAAAAUAUGGAAAUGUUCCUGUGACAAUUAAAAUCCUUCAUCCUCUGGUUUUCUUUAAGACGUUUUCUUUUAGUUCCAAGUAUCUCUACAGUUUUAGGCCUUGAGAUCACUAGCUUUUGACAGUCAUGCCAGUCUUGUUUUUAUUUAGUAGAUCAAAAGUUCUCUGGAGCAUAACAAGUGAGCUCUUUAACUGCAAACAAAAUUAAUUUUCAAAAUAAGAUUAAGUGUCACCUGCUUAUUUUUAUGCCAAAAGUUUACAUUUAUAUAUUCGAUAUAGUUUUGUUUCUACUGAUGCCCAGAUAAAAGACUGAAUUUAUACAAUAGCCAGCUACUUCGGGUGUGUGUCAGUACGCCUGCUCAGGAGCUCUUCCUGUCCACUGUACCCCGCUCUUCUCCCCGCACUGUCCUGUUGCACAUUCUGCAUCCCAGUAGGUUGUUUCCUUAAAUGGUUUCUCAAGUGGCAGUGGUCUUGCCACUGUCCCCUGAACGACUCAAGUGCCACCUCCAGGCCUUUGCUUGCUAUUUCCUUCACGCUUGUAUUCACCCAUCUAAAACUUACCCAUCACCACCGUCUCCGUGUCACCUUCCCUAGUCAUCCUGCCUUUAAACUCCCAAAGCAUUACUAUGUACUUAACACUUAACUGUGUACUUUUUUUUUUUAAUUUUGAGAGACCGCACUGAGGGAGAGAGGGUGGAGGGAGAAUCUCAAGCAGGCUCUGUUCCGAUGGGGGGGGAGGGGGGGAGAGUGCGAUUCCAUGACCCUGCAAUCACAACUUGAGCCAAAACCAAGAGUCGAUUGCUUAACUGACUGAGCCACCCAGGCGCCCCAAUUUUGUAUUUUUUUUUAUAGUCUUUAACAAUAUAUCUGAUUUUUCUAAUAAAGUUAUAGGCAACUUGAGAGCAAGAAUUA
Molecule: RNA transcript, 2407 nt
Organism: Felis catus (domestic cat)
Lineage: Eukaryota; Metazoa; Chordata; Mammalia; Carnivora; Felidae
Gene name: translation initiation factor IF-2-like
Exons: 2
Source: RefSeq, a predicted model, not a curated record